This is a long non-coding RNA of Pezoporus occidentalis (night parrot), 1194 nucleotides long. RefSeq lists it as uncharacterized. The transcript is spliced from 3 exons. The record is from RefSeq and is a predicted model, not a curated record. Lineage: Eukaryota; Metazoa; Chordata; Aves; Psittaciformes; Psittacidae.
UAGGGAAAACAGAAAGGUUGCAAAUCUCCUGACAGAACAGUGCAUAGACUGCAGGCUGUGAUUCCUAUUUAAAACAGAGUGUCCGAUGUACAGAUUCACUUGAUUUGUAUUUAAAUGGGGAAGUGUGCUACCAGCUAGCAAAAGCUUUAUGUGGGAGAAAGAGAUGAAAACUGGUGCCAAAGAAUAGUGAGAGCCAUCACUGCCUUAUCACCUAUCUCUGGAGCUAUGCGUAACUCCCCAGCCAGACACUAAGCUGAGCUCAGGGCCUGAAGAAAUAAAAAGAAACAACAAAUAAUGACUGGAAGUUACUAUAAUGAAAGCCAGGUAAAUUAAAAUGUUUCAUUUCUAAAUCCAGAAAAUUCAAUGUAAGUGCUGCGAUAUAAUAAAUGUUUCUUUGUUUUCCCUAGGGCUUUCAUAGCAAACAGUUGUUCUUUGUCAGCUGUAUUGCUGACUGUACGGAGAUUUGUAUAUAGUAUGGAAAAGCACAGAAUAUGUCCCGUGCAGGUACUGUGAAGAUAUUCCCUGACCCACUAUUGCACCUGUACCCUGAGAGAUUCUGUCCUGAGGAGCCACAGGAAUUCAAGUCUUCUCAUCACUCUCUCUUUUUCUUUUCUCUUCUUUUUUUUUUUUUUUUUUCCUAUUUUUAAAAUAUGUGAGUUUGAAUCCUGACUUGAGCAGGUUGAGUUGGGAUUUUGAAUUCGCAGCCCAGUCACUCAGAAUGUCAAUUGUCUUCCAGGGCACUGCACUGUGAGUCCCAAGGCUGGAAGCUCUUUAAAAGACCAUUUGACUUUUAAAGGAGCACUCACAGGAUAAUAUGUAUCUUUUAGCUCUUUCUAAAUCUACCAAGUGUGAUUGAUUUAUCAAUAUGUAGCAACUAAUGCUUAAAUAAAGGGACAUGUCUUCACCAGUGGUGUUGAGAUGCUUCGUUAGAAAAUUUGAAAUAAUUUCUAAAGGCAUUAACUUCCAUAAUACUGCUAGUUAGCUGUUCCCAGCUCCCUUGGGUCACAAUGAGGUACUAAGCUACCUGACAGGCUUUGCUUAAAUCUGUGGCCCUGGCACGCUGCUGUCUAGUUUGGGGUUUUCAGAAAUUAAAUUUAAUACAGGGUUUGAAUAGAAGAGUGCUGGUGCAGUGUCUCCUGUCUGUUUCUCAGAUGGUGAUGGGUUAUUCCCUGCCGUACUGUUUCCCAGUGUUUU